Molecule: ribosomal RNA, 766 nt
Filed under: Streptomyces roseolus
Lineage: Bacteria; Bacillati; Actinomycetota; Actinomycetes; Kitasatosporales; Streptomycetaceae
Description: bacterial SSU rRNA
Rfam family: Bacterial small subunit ribosomal RNA
Source: RNAcentral
GCCCUUCGGGGUGGAUUAGUGGCGAACGGGUGAGUAACACGUGGGCAAUCUGCCCUUCACUCUGGGACAAGCCCUGGAAACGGGGUCUAAUACCGGAUACGAGUCCGGGAGGCAUCUCCCGGGCUGGAAAGCUCCGGCGGUGAAGGAUGAGCCCGCGGCCUAUCAGCUUGUUGGUGGGGUAAUGGCCUACCAAGGCGACGACGGGUAGCCGGCCUGAGAGGGCGACCGGCCACACUGGGACUGAGACACGGCCCAGACUCCUACGGGAGGCAGCAGUGGGGAAUAUUGCACAAUGGGCGCAAGCCUGAUGCAGCGACGCCGCGUGAGGGAUGACGGCCUUCGGGUUGUAAACCUCUUUCAGCAGGGAAGAAGCGCAAGUGACGGUACCUGCAGAAGAAGCGCCGGCUAACUACGUGCCAGCAGCCGCGGUAAUACGUAGGGCGCAAGCGUUGUCCGGAAUUAUUGGGCGUAAAGAGCUCGUAGGCGGCUUGUCACGUCGGGUGUGAAAGCCCGGGGCUUAACCCCGGGUCUGCAUCCGAUACGGGCAGGCUAGAGUGUGGUAGGGGAGAUCGGAAUUCCUGGUGUAGCGGUGAAAUGCGCAGAUAUCAGGAGGAACACCGGUGGCGAAGGCGGAUCUCUGGGCCAUUACUGACGCUGAGGAGCGAAAGCGUGGGGAGCGAACAGGAUUAGAUACCCUGGUAGUCCACGCCGUAAACGUUGGGAACUAGGUGUUGGCGACAUUCCACGUCGUCGGUGCCGCAGCUAA